AUGCAAUUCCCAGCCUCCGCAUCAGACCUCGGAAGGUGGUUUUAACCUUAUCAUCCGGCGAACACGAUCCUUAUCAGUGUUCUCCAACAUCCCCUUCCAAACAAUUUCAUCCAGACAAAGACAGAUCCUCCCAUACUUGUCGAGGAAGAGCCGCUCGGUUGGCGGCUUCCCACAUGCAUCCUUAACCGAUGAUGUUAUCGCAAAGAUCACCUCCGCCAAAGCUAGUUCAUCGUACUCAUCCUUGCCAACGACAUAGACACAAACAUCCCCUAGCAUGGUGUAAACGAUAUACACAGACUUGUGCGAAGCAACAAGGAGCUCUUCAUUCUUGGAUCCCCUGAGAUUCUCCGCUCCCAGCUUCACUAGAAAAGAUCGCCAGUGCAAUCGCUCCUCUGCGGGGACGCCAUGGAAGCGUUCGAUGAGGAUGUUGCCGUCGGCGUUGGCGAAGAGGACGGCGAGCAGCAUGGUCGCGAUCCCG
RNAcentral lists this unclassified non-coding RNA (478 nucleotides) under Hevea brasiliensis (rubber tree). Lineage: Eukaryota; Viridiplantae; Streptophyta; Magnoliopsida; Malpighiales; Euphorbiaceae. The record is from RNAcentral.